RNAcentral lists this ribosomal RNA (427 nucleotides) under uncultured Chlamydiae bacterium. RNAcentral describes it as "bacterial SSU rRNA". It matches the Rfam family "Bacterial small subunit ribosomal RNA", at positions 958 to 1385 of the family's 1533-position model. Lineage: Bacteria; Pseudomonadati; Chlamydiota; Chlamydiia. The record is from RNAcentral.
AACGCGAAGAACCUUACCUGGGCUCGAAAUGCAGAGGGAGAUGCCAGAAAUGGCUUCGUCCGCAAGGACUUCUGUAUAGGUGCUGCAUGGCUGUCGUCAGCUCGUGCCGUGAGGUGUUUGGUUAAGUCCAGCAACGAGCGCAACCCUUAUCAUUAGUUGCCAACACGUAAGGUGGGGACUCUAAUGAGACUGCCUAGGUUAACUAGGAGGAAGGCGAGGAUGACGUCAAGUCCGCAUGGCCUUUAUGUCCAGGGCUACACACGUGCUACAAUGGUCGGUACAGAGGGCUGCAAGACCGUAAGGUGGAGCAAAUCCCAGAAAGCCGAUCUCAGUUCAGAUUGUGGACUGCAACUCGUCCACAUGAAGUCGGAAUUGCUAGUAAUGGCGUGUCAGCAACAACGCCGUGAAUACGUUCCCGGGCCUUGUA